RNAcentral lists this ribosomal RNA (201 nucleotides) under uncultured Staphylococcus sp. RNAcentral's name for it is "partial 16S ribosomal RNA". It matches the Rfam family "Bacterial small subunit ribosomal RNA", at positions 139 to 334 of the family's 1533-position model. The record is from RNAcentral. Lineage: Bacteria; Bacillati; Bacillota; Bacilli; Caryophanales; Staphylococcaceae.
GGGAGUAACUUCUGGAAACCGGAGCUAAUACCGGAUAACAUAUUGAACCGCAUGGUUCAAUAGUGAAAGGCGGCUUUGCUGUCACUUAUAGAUGGAUCCGCGCCGUAUUAGCUAGUUGGUAAGGUAACGGCUUACCAAGGCAACGAUACGUAGCCGACCUGAGAGGGUGAUCGGCCACACUGGAACUGAGACACGGUCCAG